RNAcentral lists this ribosomal RNA (468 nucleotides) under uncultured bacterium. Its description in RNAcentral is "partial 16S ribosomal RNA". It matches the Rfam family "Bacterial small subunit ribosomal RNA", at positions 28 to 507 of the family's 1533-position model. The record is from RNAcentral.
GACGAACGCUGGCGGCGUGCUUAACACAUGCAAGUCGAACGGAAAGGCCCUGCUUUUGUGUGGUGCUCGAGUGGCGAACGGGUGAGUAACACGUGAGUAACCUGCCCUUGACUUUGGGAUAACUUCAGGAAACUGGGGCUAAUACCGGAUAGGAGCUCCUGCUGCAUGGUGGGGGUUGGAAAGUUUCGGCGGUUGGGGAUGGACUCGCGGCUUAUCAGCUUGUUGGUGGGGUAGUGGCUUACCAAGGCUUUGACGGGUAGCCGGCCUGAGAGGGUGACCGGACACAUUGGGACUGAGAUACGGCCCAGACUCCUACGGGAGGCAGCAGUGGGGAAUAUUGCACAAUGGGCGGAAGCCUGAUGCAGCAACGCCGCGUGCGGGAUGACGGCCUUCGGGUUGUAAACCGCUUUCGCCUGUGACGAAGCGUGAGUGACGGUAAUGGGUAAAGAAGCACCGGCUAACUACGUG